This is a non-coding RNA of Phrynosoma platyrhinos (Desert horned lizard), 73 nucleotides long. Lineage: Eukaryota; Metazoa; Chordata; Lepidosauria; Squamata; Phrynosomatidae. The record is from the annotation of a GenBank genome assembly.
GCUAGUGUAGUGUAGUGGUUUGAGCAUUGGAUUAGGUCUCUGGGAGACCAGGGUUCAAAUCCCUGCUCCACCA